UACGUAGGGUGCAAGCGUUGUCCGGAAUUAUUGGGCGUAAAGAGCUCGUAGGCGGUCUGUCGCGUCGGCUGUGAAAACCCGAGGCUCAACCUCGGGCCUGUAGUCGAUACGGGCAAACUAGAGUACUGCAGGGGAGACUGGAAUUCCUGGUGUAGCGGUGAAAUGCGCAGAUAUCAGGAGGAACACCGGUGGCGAAGGCGGGUCUCUGGGCAGUAACUGACGCUGAGGAGCGAAAGCGUGGGUAGCGAACAGG
Molecule: ribosomal RNA, 253 nt
Filed under: uncultured bacterium
Lineage: Bacteria
Description: partial 16S ribosomal RNA
Rfam family: Bacterial small subunit ribosomal RNA
Source: RNAcentral